Molecule: ribosomal RNA, 1540 nt
Filed under: Klebsiella pneumoniae
Lineage: Bacteria; Pseudomonadati; Pseudomonadota; Gammaproteobacteria; Enterobacterales; Enterobacteriaceae
Description: bacterial SSU rRNA
Rfam family: Bacterial small subunit ribosomal RNA
Source: RNAcentral
AAAUUGAAGAGUUUGAUCAUGGCUCAGAUUGAACGCUGGCGGCAGGCCUAACACAUGCAAGUCGAGCGGUAGCACAGAGAGCUUGCUCUCGGGUGACGAGCGGCGGACGGGUGAGUAAUGUCUGGGAAACUGCCUGAUGGAGGGGGAUAACUACUGGAAACGGUAGCUAAUACCGCAUAAUGUCGCAAGACCAAAGUGGGGGACCUUCGGGCCUCAUGCCAUCAGAUGUGCCCAGAUGGGAUUAGCUAGUAGGUGGGGUAACGGCUCACCUAGGCGACGAUCCCUAGCUGGUCUGAGAGGAUGACCAGCCACACUGGAACUGAGACACGGUCCAGACUCCUACGGGAGGCAGCAGUGGGGAAUAUUGCACAAUGGGCGCAAGCCUGAUGCAGCCAUGCCGCGUGUGUGAAGAAGGCCUUCGGGUUGUAAAGCACUUUCAGCGGGGAGGAAGGCGUUAAGGUUAAUAACCUUGGCGAUUGACGUUACCCGCAGAAGAAGCACCGGCUAACUCCGUGCCAGCAGCCGCGGUAAUACGGAGGGUGCAAGCGUUAAUCGGAAUUACUGGGCGUAAAGCGCACGCAGGCGGUCUGUCAAGUCGGAUGUGAAAUCCCCGGGCUCAACCUGGGAACUGCAUUCGAAACUGGCAGGCUAGAGUCUUGUAGAGGGGGGUAGAAUUCCAGGUGUAGCGGUGAAAUGCGUAGAGAUCUGGAGGAAUACCGGUGGCGAAGGCGGCCCCCUGGACAAAGACUGACGCUCAGGUGCGAAAGCGUGGGGAGCAAACAGGAUUAGAUACCCUGGUAGUCCACGCCGUAAACGAUGUCGAUUUGGAGGUUGUGCCCUUGAGGCGUGGCUUCCGGAGCUAACGCGUUAAAUCGACCGCCUGGGGAGUACGGCCGCAAGGUUAAAACUCAAAUGAAUUGACGGGGGCCCGCACAAGCGGUGGAGCAUGUGGUUUAAUUCGAUGCAACGCGAAGAACCUUACCUGGUCUUGACAUCCACAGAACUUUCCAGAGAUGGAUUGGUGCCUUCGGGAACUGUGAGACAGGUGCUGCAUGGCUGUCGUCAGCUCGUGUUGUGAAAUGUUGGGUUAAGUCCCGCAACGAGCGCAACCCUUAUCCUUUGUUGCCAGCGGUUCGGCCGGGAACUCAAAGGAGACUGCCAGUGAUAAACUGGAGGAAGGUGGGGAUGACGUCAAGUCAUCAUGGCCCUUACGACCAGGGCUACACACGUGCUACAAUGGCAUAUACAAAGAGAAGCGACCUCGCGAGAGCAAGCGGACCUCAUAAAGUAUGUCGUAGUCCGGAUUGGAGUCUGCAACUCGACUCCAUGAAGUCGGAAUCGCUAGUAAUCGUAGAUCAGAAUGCUACGGUGAAUACGUUCCCGGGCCUUGUACACACCGCCCGUCACACCAUGGAAGUGGGUUGCAAAAGAAGUAGGUAGCUUAACCUUCGGGAGGGCGCUUACCACUUUGUGAUUCAUGACUGGGGUGAAGUCGUAACAAGGUAACCGUAGGGGAACCUGCGGUUGGAUCACCUCCUUA